CCUACCUCACUAGCUGCCUCUCACCAGCUAUUCAUCCCUUACAUGGCCUACACAGCCGUUCCCCAUAGAGAUAGUUUAACACCUCUGGACGCACUUGCAUUUGUCUUGCCCCUUUCUCUCUCUGGUGUUCCCACAAGUGUGCCAGUAUGUCGCAGACAUUCCACAGACAUCCAGCCCUGCCAGCUCACCAGGACCACCUGGAAACUUAGCAGAGCACUGUAAUGUACCUCCUUCAGCUCCAAGCAGCCAACAACCUGCAAUGGCAAAGAAAGGAACAGCGAGACUGCGACAUAAGUGAACACCUGACCAGCAUCAUCCUCUCCUCGGCCCACACCCUCAAGGGCCUCAGACAGGAGGUAAAUGAGCUGAAACGGCAAGUCACAGAGUUCUGCAGAGAACUGACACCUGCUCAACGAGAGAAAGCACAGAACGGAUGCAAAGAACCUCAAAGAAUGGUGCGACAGAAGGAAAUCACCAGUCUUCACAGAGGCUCUAACAGCUGCUAGACACCAAGCGCCGCUGGAAAAAGGCAUCAACCUGUUCUCUUCUCAAGUCCU
This is a long non-coding RNA of Sinocyclocheilus grahami, 557 nucleotides long. RefSeq lists it as uncharacterized. The record is from RefSeq and is a predicted model, not a curated record. Lineage: Eukaryota; Metazoa; Chordata; Actinopteri; Cypriniformes; Cyprinidae. The transcript has 3 exons.